This 253-nucleotide ribosomal RNA is filed under the name uncultured bacterium. Its description in RNAcentral is "partial 16S ribosomal RNA". It matches the Rfam family "Bacterial small subunit ribosomal RNA", at positions 524 to 776 of the family's 1533-position model. The record is from RNAcentral. RNAcentral also lists the same sequence under 3 other names.
UACGUAGGGUGCAAGCGUUGUCCGGAAUUAUUGGGCGUAAAGAGCUUGUAGGCGGUUUGUCGCGUCUGCUGUGAAAUUUCGGGGCUCAACCCCGAACUUGCAGUGGGUACGGGCAGACUAGAGUGUGGUAGGGGAGACUGGAAUUCCUGGUGUAGCGGUGAAAUGCGCAGAUAUCAGGAGGAACACCGAUGGCGAAGGCAGGUCUCUGGGCCACUACUGACGCUGAGAAGCGAAAGCAUGGGGAGCGAACAGG